UGGUGUAUCUCUGAUGCGUGUGAGCACCACACAGCUGGUAGUGCACACUGUAUCUCUGAUGCGUGUGAGCACCACACAGCUGGUCGUGCACGGUGGAAGGUUGGAGUAGUGGAGUGACUGCAGGCCCUUUCUCCUCCAGCUCCAGAACCCAGUGCCUCCAGUGACGUUCACUCCUCCUCUAACCCCUUCGACCCCUUCAUCACAGAGUCUGGCGAUGGCUCUGGGAGUGAGAUGCCAUCUGAGUCCUCCCCCUCAACCCGUCCAACGCUGACCUUGCACUUGUCCUGGGUGCUUGCGGCCUGCGUGCUUGGUGCCGUCCUAGUGCUGGCGGUCUACAUCCUCAGACACAGAGAGCAGUUCACAUCUAAACUGUUCAAGCUGGCUCGAUGCUCCACCU
Molecule: long non-coding RNA, 397 nt
Organism: Conger conger (European conger)
Lineage: Eukaryota; Metazoa; Chordata; Actinopteri; Anguilliformes; Congridae
Exons: 4
Source: RefSeq, a predicted model, not a curated record